GAUGAACGCUAGCGGCAGGCUUAACACAUGCAAGUCGAGGGGUAGAGGAAGCUUGCUUCCUUGAGACCGGGCGCACGGGUGCGUAACGCGUAUGCAAUCUACCUUAUACAGGGGGAUAGCCCAGAGAAAUUUGGAUUAAUACCCCAUAGUAUAAUUGAAUGGCAUCAUUUAAUUAUUAAAAGUUCCAACGGUAUAAGAUGAGCAUGCGUCCCAUUAGCUAGUGGUGUGGUAACGGCACACCAAGGCGACGAUGGGUAGGGGUCCUGAGAGGGAGAUCCCCCACACUGGUACUGAGACACGGACCAGACUCCUACGGGAGGCAGCAGUGAGGAAUAUUGGUCAAUGGGCGCAAGCCUGAACCAGCCAUGCCGCGUGCAGGAUG
Molecule: ribosomal RNA, 382 nt
Filed under: uncultured bacterium
Lineage: Bacteria
Description: bacterial SSU rRNA
Rfam family: Bacterial small subunit ribosomal RNA
Source: RNAcentral